RNAcentral lists this ribosomal RNA (433 nucleotides) under uncultured bacterium. RNAcentral describes it as "partial 16S ribosomal RNA". It matches the Rfam family "Bacterial small subunit ribosomal RNA", at positions 29 to 507 of the family's 1533-position model. The record is from RNAcentral.
AACGAACGCUGGCGGCAUGCCUAACACAUGCAAGUCGAACGAGACCUUCGGGUCUAGUGGCGCACGGGUGCGUAACGCGUGGGAACCUGCCCUUAGGUUCGGAAUAACUCCCCGAAAGGGGUGCUAAUACCGGAUAAUGUCUUCGGACCAAAGAUUUAUCGCCUUUGGAUGGGCCCGCGUUGGAUUAGCUAGUUGGUAGGGUAAAAGCCUACCAAGGCGACGAUCCAUAGCUGGUCUGAGAGGAUGAUCAGCCACGCUGGGACUGAGACACGGCCCAGACUCCGACGGGAGGCAGCAGUGGGGAAUAUUGGACAAUGGGCGAAAGCCUGAUCCAGCAAUGCCGCGGGAGUGAUGAAGGCCUUAGGGUUGUAAAGCUCUUUUACCCGGGAUGAGAAUGACAGUACCGGGAGAAUAAGCUCCGGCUAACUCCGUG